GGCCAGACUCCUACGGGAGGCAGCAGCGGGGAAUAUUGCACAAUGGGGGAAACCCUGAUGCAGCAACGCCGCGUGAGUGAAGAAGUCUUUCGGUAUGUAAAGCUCUCUCAGCAGGGAAGAAGAGAGACGGUACCUGACUAAGAAGCCCCGGCUAACUACGUGCCAGCAGCCGCGGUAAUACGUAGGGGGCAAGCGUUAUCCGGAUUUACUGGGUGUAAAGGGAGCGUAGACGGCUUGAUAAGUCUGAAGUGAAAGGCCGAGGCUUAACCAUGGAACUGCUUUGGAGACUAUGAGGCUAGAGUGCUGGAGAGGUAAGCGGAAUUCCUAGUGUAGCGGUGAAAUGCGUAGAUAUUAGGAGGAACACCAGUGGCGAAGGCGGCUUACUGGACAGAAACUGACGUUGAGGCUCGAAAGGGUGG
RNAcentral lists this ribosomal RNA (419 nucleotides) under uncultured bacterium. RNAcentral's name for it is "bacterial SSU rRNA". It matches the Rfam family "Bacterial small subunit ribosomal RNA", at positions 329 to 764 of the family's 1533-position model. The record is from RNAcentral.